AACAUUUCUUUUAGAUUAUAUGAAAAGUAAAGUCUGCCCACUGUAUAAAUAAAGGGCCGCGGUAUUUUGACCGUGCAAAGGUAGCAUAAUCAUUAGUCUUUUGAUUGGGGAAUGGAAUGAAUGGCUUAAUGAUUCUUUUCUUUUAUUCAUAUUAUAGUAAAACUUUGAUUUUAAGUGAAAAUACUUAAAUAUAUUAAUUAGACGAUAAGACCCUAUAGAAUUUUAUUUAUAUGGCUUAUUUAUAUAGUUUUAUAAAUUUAAAUGGGGCAUUUAUUGAAUAAUUUUAAUUUCUUUAAAUUUUUAAAAAAAAUCUUAAAUUAUAAAUGAUUAAAUAAUUACCUUAGGGAUAACAGCGUAAUAAUUUUUGAGAGUUCAUAUCGACAAAAUAGUUUGCGACCUCGAUGUUGAAUUAAAAUACCUUUAUAAAGCAGCUUUUAUGUAAGGUAGUCUGUUCGACUAUAAAAAUUUUACAUGAUUUGAGU
This 482-nucleotide ribosomal RNA is filed under the name Tomocerus ocreatus. RNAcentral's name for it is "partial 16S ribosomal RNA". It matches the Rfam family "Bacterial large subunit ribosomal RNA", at positions 1816 to 2610 of the family's 2925-position model. Lineage: Eukaryota; Metazoa; Arthropoda; Collembola; Entomobryomorpha; Tomoceridae. The record is from RNAcentral.